GUUAUUUAUUCGAAUGAUUUAUGACAAUCUAUUAGAUGACUUAUUAGUACUGUCUUCAGUAGAAUACUACUACUGUUUUUUUUUUGCUGCUGUUUUCCGGAGAAUAAUGGCCAAAAAGGAAAAACAAUGUGUUAGCCUCCUAAGUGGUCUGACGUUAUGAAAUGAGAGCUACUUUUCCAUCUACAUUGGCCACUAGUGGUUGGAGGACUAAAUCACCUCGAGUUCAACGUUUAAAUUGACUGGAAAAUAACGAUACAUUUUGCGACUGAAUACACACUAGCUGACUACCGAUGUUCAUUACAAUUUAAGUUAUCAUGGGGAAAGUCAAGAGGAAGCAGUGGAGUGAGGUGGACAUUUUUCUAUGCCAUGGAGGACUGUGGGGCAGGGAUGGCUAUCCACCAGGCUGCCAAGGUGCAUGGUGUACCUCUGCAGACCCUGGUGGACAGGCUGAGCAGCCGGGUGACCCAUGGUUGUAGCAGUGGACCACCCACAUUGCUUGCACCAGAGGAUGAAAAUGAUCUGGUGCAGUACUGUAUCUACUGCACCAGCCAUGGGUUCCCCUUCACCAGACAGAGGCUGAUGAAGUACGCAGUACUGGUUCCACUGCAGGUGUGUGCUGUGACUUCUGCCAACACUGGUUCCACUGCAGGUGUGUGCUGUGACUUCUGCCAACACUGGUUCCACUGCAGGUGUGUGCUGUGACUUCUGCCAACACUGGUUCCACUGCAGGUGUGUGCUGUGACUUC
Molecule: long non-coding RNA, 746 nt
Filed under: Salmo salar (Atlantic salmon)
Lineage: Eukaryota; Metazoa; Chordata; Actinopteri; Salmoniformes; Salmonidae
Description: lncRNA (ENSSSAG00000089163.1)
Source: RNAcentral